RNAcentral lists this long non-coding RNA (4602 nucleotides) under Nicotiana tabacum (common tobacco). Its description in RNAcentral is "long non-coding RNA (NTAB_LNC005226)". Lineage: Eukaryota; Viridiplantae; Streptophyta; Magnoliopsida; Solanales; Solanaceae. The record is from RNAcentral.
GGGGACUUCGUGCCUCACUUUCUGCAAAAUAAAUAGAGUUAGACCCUUGCCCCCUCCGGAUUCGACUACUUACACAUUAACGAUUAGCAUGUCAGCAUUUAUCUCUCCAAAUAAUGCACAUAUCGUGAUUGCGUCCGUUGGAAUUAUGUAAAUCCCGGUGGACUUUGGACAAGGCUUUCUUAGGGGGUUAUUAUGUGGACAACAUAUUAACCCCGACUAGGUUUGACCAUGAUGCAUGAGGGGGAAAGGCACGGAACUGUCGACUGCACCACUGAUCGACUAGUUUUACCGCAAAUAAGCCUUUCUGAAUUUAAAGGGUGAUUUUAGGAAGUGCGCAGACACUUAUCAAGUGUCGCUAUGGUAUUAAUACGCAUGAUUAGAAUAUAAUGUUGAGCAUGGAGUUAUUCAAAAGAAAAUAACACAUUGCCAAGUAUUUGCAUGAUGAAUAAUGAUAAAAUGUGGCAUUUUAAUAAUUGUAAAGACAUUUAAGAAAAGAUAAACAAGGAGACAAGUCAGUUUCCAUAGUAAAAGAGGUAAAAUAGGGGAGGAAAAUCAUAAAUGAAUAAGGAUAGGCAAAUAAAUCCAUAUAGAAUGGAAAGGGGUGUGAAAGAAUUAACGGAAUAAUAAAGACAUGCUUAAAGACUAAUUCAUAGACAAGUUCGUUAUGGUAAGAGCUUAAAGAUUUUCCCAACAGAGUCGGCAUACUGUCGCGCCCCCUUUUUCUCGCGAAAUUGGGUUUCGACAUUUUUGGGACAACUCAUUUCCUUUUGGGAUGGGGUAAAGGAUUUGAAGAGUCGUCACCUAACGGAUUAAGGUGCGUUAGGACACCUAGAACAGUUAACUCAUAUAACCAGUUUACAUCACCAGAGAUUGGGUAAAGGCUCAAAAUUACCUUGAGGGGAAGGUGUUAAGCACCCCUCGAGGUCCACAACGGUGGGUCCCAACUGAACUUAAAUUAAGCGAAUUAGUCUUAAAAGGGAAGAAAACAAAUAAGACAAAUACAAUAUUCAACUUACUUUUUACACAUUAGUAUAGGGGGUGGUCCUAAGUUUUUUAGCCUAUAGGAUCAUUACAUGCAAUGCUUUGCAACUCCCACAAGUUGGGGUUUUACUCAUAGCAUUAGCGCAUGGGAUAUCAUUUCCUUUACUACCCAAUUACUAUCUUUCAGUUGUUACCUAAGCAUUCUAGUAGCUUCUAACUCGUGUCUUAUGCGUGCACUACCCAUCCCUUUCCUAUGGUCCUGGAGGUAUUUAUGACCUCUAUUUAGAGUGGUUCUAGACUGACCUAUGUUGCUUAAAUGAGAAAAAUCUAGGUGACAAACAAAAUUCAAAAAGAACUAUCAUGUAAGGAGCAAAUAAAGGCUCAUAUAAACCUUCACAAGUAGACAACAAAUACACGCAGUUAAAUAAAUAGAUUUCAUUAAUUUAGGAUCCUAUAGGUAGGAUAUCUAGAUGAGCAAAAACAAAAUGCAAGACAUCAGUUUAUUAAGGCGGGCAUCUGGACCUAUCAAUUUGCUUAUUGAUUUUAUUAAACCUUGAAUCUGGGCAUUUUCAGACAGUAAGAUAUCACAAUUUUAGGCCUAGAAUCAUUGGUAACCCCUACAGAUUUUACCUAAGUAAUAACCAGAAUUAAUCGAACUCAAAACUGAUUAACAGAACUCUAUAGGCAUGAUAUCUACAACCUAUAACGUGAUUUCUAAGUGAAUUACUGAUUUUAUCUCAUAAAGACAGGUUUUAUCCCUUUUAGAUCCUAUAGGCAUGCUUUCAAAUUAGUUUAAACCCCUAUAGGUGGGAUUUCUAAGUGUUGACUUGAUUUAAACCUCUAUAAGCAUGGUUUCUAAGUUUACAAACUGAUUUCACCCUAUAGGCACGAUAUCUAUUAGUUUAAAUCCUAUAGACGUGAUUUCUAGGUUUGAAACUGAUUCCUUUUAUUCUUAUAGGCAUGGUAUCUAACUUGAAACUGAUUUUUUACCUCCUAUAGGCAUGAUAUCUAUUAAUCACAUAUGGACAAAAUUUUAAGCAUGUUGCCAGGAAAGGUUAUUAUUCAAACAGAUAGAAUCUUAUAGACAUGGUCGCUAAAGCAUGUAAGUUAAAAAUGUUCAUGGAUACUAUGCAAUGGAAUUCUAAUGUAAGAGGCCUAUAAACAUGAUUUCUAGCGUGUGAGUGAAAUACAGAACAAAGCAAUCAGAAGAUUCUAUAGGCAUGAUCUUUAACAAGAAAUAACAUUCACAUAAUCACCAAUAAACCUACAGGCAUAAUUUCUACCCAAGUUUCAAAUAAAGAUAUAGAACCCCCCCCCCCCCCCCAGCUUUUACUAAUAAAUCCCAGAUCUAUUUAUUACAGAGAUUAUUACAGCCCAGAAUGAAUAAAUUACAUAACAAUAUCUUUUACACUAUAGGGAGCCUUAGCAGGCCCAAUAUAAACCUGGGAGCCAGGCCUUCAGACACAAUAACGCUGAAACAAUAGCAGGGAUCCACAACACCAUAAACCAGGAUUCUACUGUGUCUAAGUUCCCAAAGAGCCUCAGGGACCCCGGGCAACGCUCACACUAGAACCAAACAUUCAACACAAAAUUCACAAGAGAUUAGAAAACCAGCCCCAAUGUGUCAGAGUUCAAAGGAGUCUCAGGGACCCAAGGCAGUGCUCGUACUGGGGGUGGUAGAAACCUAGAUAACUAAGAGUAGAAGUUUGAAAUCCAGUAUAUAGAGGGUAAUGAGGAACAAGUUUAGAAAUUAGCACAUAUAGAAUAGUAACAGAACUACACUAGAGAACAAACAAACUCUUGUUCAGCAUAUAGUUCAACUAAGUUGAUAUUUGUUCAGACUAGAUACUCAUACCAACAUUUAAAGUAAUCAUAAAAGCAAAGAUACUUGAACUAACAUACAUAAUUAGCCAUACAUUACAUGCUUGCAGUUAGAACAGGGAACAUACAACCGAAUUGGACAGGGUUUCACAUUACUGGAGGUAACUUAUUUUAGCAUUAUCACUAAGUGAGAUCAUGUAGUCACAUAGAAAGCAGAAGCAUGCUGAAAAUUUAAAUAGACUAAUCGAAUAAAGCAGAUAGAACAUAAUAGAAUAAUAUGAGUUAAAGCAUACCAGUUGAGAAGAAAGCAAAUAGGAAUGCAAUAGCAGUUAGAAUCCAGAGAAUCUGGCCUUGGCUUUCAGCCGGCUAAAUAGUGCAGAAAUCAGAACAAUAGAAAGAGAAAGCUCAAGUUUUUUGAGAGCGAAGAAUUUGAAAGUUUUAAGUUGUAAAGUGUGUAAGUGUCUCAGUGUGUAAAGUCAGGACAGGGGAAGGGCUUUUAUAGCAUAUAAUAGAGUAAAACAAAUAAGGUAAUGAACCAAUAACACACAAAUAAGGUAUGAAAAUUAAUUAAGGUUAGCAUGAACCAAUUAACAAGACAUAAUCGAGUAAAGUCAGGCUAGUACUACUUGAUUUAAGGAAAACCUUAUACGGAAUCGACUAGUAAUUAAGUACUAGGUUAAAUAAGGUAAAGAAAUAAUUCCAGGAUUAAUUUGAAGUUUAAUUUAGGGGUGAUGGUACAUAGUUUAGUCAAUUAAUGAGCAAUCUGGCAAGUACUACUCAUAAUAAGGUAAGUAUCAUAUAGAACCAAUUAUCAAUCAGCAAAUAAGGAAAAGAAAUAAAGGAACAAGGUAGGACGAACAGAAUAGGGAAAGUAUCAGUACAUACGAGAAAGAUUAAAAUCUUGGUAAAGAUUUCAGAGGCCCUAGUUUUGGGGUAAAUAAAACUAGCCCGCAACUAACGACAAGAGUGGAAGAUGCAUAGUGGAAAAUAGACAGAAACAUUUAAAGGAAAAAAUACCAAAUAAUGACAACCCUAACUUAAUGUAAGCAAAAGAAAAAGCAGAAACACAAAAGCUUUAAUAAAAUACACGAAGACAUAUAGACGGAAAUAAUUAAGGUUUGAACCAUAUUUUGUUCGAAGAAUCAAAACCCUAGAUUUUAGGGUAAGUAAAAUCAGCAUAGAAAUAAAAAAGGAAACUAUAAUAGAGAUGGAAAUACAUAAAUUUAGUUCGUCUUUAAGAAAUCAUAAACGCUAAAUUUUAGGGUAAGCAGAAUCGAUCAGAAAUAGUAAAGAAAAUAUGAACAUAGAGGUAGAUAUAAUGAAACAUUAAAGGAAAAAUACAAAGGAGGAGAAACUAUUUUGGAUCUAGAAAGAUCUUGAGUCCUAAUUUUAAGGUAAGUAAAUGAUUUAACUAAAAUAAGUUGAUUUGUAAGUAAUAGAGCAAAUAUAGAUGGAAAAUAAUCAUAAAACAAACAGAAAUCGGACCAAAUCAAAAUCUGAAGCCCUAACUAAAAGAUACAAAAAUAUUUAUACUUACAGAGGUUAGGACGAACACAGACGGAAAUAAUCAACAUAUAAGAUAUUUUGAACCAUUCUGGUUUGAAUCUCUUGAGAUCACCUUGCCAUUUGAGGCGAACUAGUUUGAGUAAUAUAAAAAACGAGUAGCUGGCAAGGAGGUAAGGCCAAAUAUUGUAAGGAAUCAAGAGAUUAUUCCAUUUUUAGGUAAGAAUCGCAGGAUGGUGACAACAUUAGGGUUCGAUGAAGAGAGAAGGGGAGGAGAUGAGAGAAUACAGAGGCGAC